RNAcentral lists this transfer RNA (69 nucleotides) under Schistochila macrodonta. RNAcentral describes it as "tRNA-Asn". It matches the Rfam family "tRNA". Rfam says of the family: Transfer RNA (tRNA) molecules are approximately 80 nucleotides in length. The record is from RNAcentral. Lineage: Eukaryota; Viridiplantae; Streptophyta; Jungermanniopsida; Jungermanniales; Schistochilaceae.
UCAGUAGCUCAGUGGUAGAGCGGUCGGCUGUUAACCGAUCGGUCGUAGGUUCAAAUCCUACCUGAGGAG